AGUGAACGCUGGCGGUAGGCCUAACACAUGCAAGUCGAACGGCAGCACAGGAGAGCUUGCUCUCUGGGUGGCGAGUGGCGGACGGGUGAGGAAUACAUCGGAAUCUACUCUGUCGUGGGGGAUAACGGAGGGAAACUUACGCUAAUACCGCAUACGACCUACGGGUGAAAGCAGGGGACCUUCUGGCCUUGGGGGAUGGAAUGGGGCGAUGUCGGAUUAGCUAGUUGGCGGGGUAGAGGCCCACCAAGGCGACGAUCCGUAGCUGGUCUGAGAGGAUGAUCAGCCACACUGGAACUGAGACACGGUCCAGACUCCUACGGGAGGCAGCAGUGGGGAAUAUUGGACAAUGGGCGCAAGCCUGAUCCAGCCAUACCGCGUGGGUGAAGAAGGCCUUCGGGUUGUAAAGCCCUUUUGUUGGGAAAGAAAUCCAGCUGGCUAAUACCCGGUUGGGAUGACGGUACCCAAAGAAUAAGCACCGGCUAACUUUGUGCCAGCCGCCGCCGUAA
Molecule: ribosomal RNA, 506 nt
Filed under: uncultured bacterium
Lineage: Bacteria
Description: partial 16S ribosomal RNA
Rfam family: Bacterial small subunit ribosomal RNA
Source: RNAcentral